UACGUAGGGUGCGAGCGUUAAUCGGAGUUACUGGGCGUAAAGCGUGCGCAGGCGGGCUUUUAAGCCAGACGUGAAAUCCCCGGGCUUAACCUGGGAAUGGCGUUUGGGACUGGAAGUCUGGAGUACGGCAGAGGAGACUGGAAUUCCUGGUGUAGCAGUGAAAUGCGUAGAUAUCAGGAGGAACACCGAUGGCGAAGGCAGGUCUCUGGGCUGAUACUGACGCUCAUGCACGAAGGCGUGGGGAGCAAACAGG
RNAcentral lists this ribosomal RNA (253 nucleotides) under uncultured bacterium. RNAcentral's name for it is "partial 16S ribosomal RNA". It matches the Rfam family "Bacterial small subunit ribosomal RNA", at positions 524 to 776 of the family's 1533-position model. The record is from RNAcentral.